CAAGGAAUUUUCGGCAAUGGGGGCAACCCUGACCGAGCAACGCCGCGUGCAGGAUGACGGCCUUCGGGUUGUAAACUGCUUUUCAGGGGGAAGACUAAGGACUGUACCCCUGGAAUAAGGCUCGGCUAACUCUGUGCCAGCAGCCGCGGUAAGACAGAGGAGCCAAGCGUUGUCCGGAGUAACUGGGCGUAAAGCGCACGCAGGUGGUUCUGCGCGUGGGGUGUGAAAGCUCUCGGCUUAACUGAGAGAGGCCACCUCAUACGGCAGAGCUCGAGCCCUGCAGAGGUCCACGGAAUUGCCGGUGUAGUGGUGAAAUGCGUAGAGAUCGGCAGGAACACCCAGGGGGAAACCAGUGGACUGGGCAGGCGCUGACACUGAGGUGCGAAAGCGUGGGGAGCGAAC
RNAcentral lists this ribosomal RNA (402 nucleotides) under uncultured bacterium. RNAcentral describes it as "bacterial SSU rRNA". It matches the Rfam family "Bacterial small subunit ribosomal RNA", at positions 355 to 773 of the family's 1533-position model. The record is from RNAcentral.